AAGAUUUUAAGUUAAUUAAACUAAUAGCCUUCAAAGCUUUAAAUAAUAAUAUAAUUUUUUAAAUCUUA
This 68-nucleotide transfer RNA is filed under the name Megabeleses magnoliae. RNAcentral's name for it is "tRNA-Trp". The record is from RNAcentral. Lineage: Eukaryota; Metazoa; Arthropoda; Insecta; Hymenoptera; Tenthredinidae.